GACAAGCUCGCCUGUUCUGGGAGAAGGCGGGGGAGCAGCGCCGGGAGCCCCGGGAGCUGGGCCGCGGUAGGAAAGUAAGAUGGGGCGCCAUGGGACGCUUCUGAGCAGGGGAAGAACGGGAUGGGUGAACGCUUGAACCGCAAGUAAGGGCAGAAGCGGCAGAAACCAUGAACAAAGCCCUGGGCUGCGCUGCCUGUCAUGGGGAACACCCAGCAACCGCCAGUCACCUGUCAAAAACUACGCCAGCUUGUCAUCUUAAAAAACAGGAAGUCAAGGCCAUGGCUAUUGGGAGAGAAAACAUUUCAAUAACAAGAAAAGGAAAAAGAAUACCCACGACCCGCAAUUCAGAGACAACCAUUAUCAAAACAACAUUUUCAUGUAUGUUUUUUCCUGUCCUUUAUGUAGUUGUGUGUGGUUUUUUUUUUUUUUGGCUGUAGGUUUUAUUUGUAUCAAGGUUGUACAUACACAUAACUCAAUGAGUCAAAUUUUCUAAAAACAGAAAUCUCCACUUCAUUCUCUCUUUCCACCUCCCCUUCCCAGAGACACCCACUUUGACCUCUUUUAACUGGUUGUUUGAUAUUUAACUCCAUUUCCCUAAAU
Molecule: long non-coding RNA, 600 nt
Organism: Phyllostomus hastatus (greater spear-nosed bat)
Lineage: Eukaryota; Metazoa; Chordata; Mammalia; Chiroptera; Phyllostomidae
Exons: 3
Source: RefSeq, a predicted model, not a curated record